Long non-coding RNA from Schistocerca cancellata (South American locust), 4273 nucleotides. RefSeq lists it as uncharacterized. The transcript is spliced from 2 exons. NCBI's taxonomy places the organism in Eukaryota, Metazoa, Arthropoda, Insecta, Orthoptera, Acrididae. The record is from RefSeq and is a predicted model, not a curated record.
UUGUCUAUACAUUGUAUUUUAAGUAACAUGGUAAAUGCAGUAACAACAUUCAGCCUAUCCGUAUAAAUUUUUAUGACAUGCUCAGUAAUCCCAGCUGAAAAAUCAUCAGCUAGUGUCAAUGGGUAAAAACUAAAAAAAUAUACAAUUAACUGCUUUGUGCACCAAUUGAAGGAAACAAGUUAACUUAAUAAUAAAGUGGAGAUGUCCAGUCCCUGUACAGACUUACACACUUGCUUUACAAUGCUCACAGUUCAGAAUGGUUGUUUCCCUUUCAGAUGAUAGGAAACUUUGGCCCACUUAUUCUACAGAUAAUUUUCUGUGCAGGAAAUCUUGUGGCCAACUGAUUCUCCUCCUUCCCCCCCCCCCCCUUUGUGUUACUUUUUUUUCCGUUUUGUAAAUCAAACUACUUUCUUCUGGGAUUUUGGUCUCAUAUUAGACAAUUCCAAAUCAUUGUCAGUUAUGUUUUCAACUAACAUGACAAAGAUGUACAGAUAUCAGAUUCUACCUGGUACAAUGAAUGUAGAGGGUGGUUGUUAUUAAAUAUUCACUACUUGAGAGGGCUCCUCAUGAAAGACAUCACAAUGAAACUUUGUGGAAACAUUUGUAAGGACAUGCGGAAGAGGAAUGACAAAUCGUUGAAAGAAACAUUUUAAUUGCCACAUGAAAGUGUAACAUUUCAAAUAGUAAAGGGCAGAGCAAUUAGUCAAAUAAUGUUUAUUGUAUAUCCAGAUUUCAGCCACUGUGACCAAAAUAUGGGUAUGCAAUUGACAUUUGUUACAGAUUGCUAAACCUUUUAUUACUUGAAAUAAAGACACCAGGCGCAUCUGCUUUCCAAUGGUAACAUCUUAAUUGCGUACAAUGUUUACACUCCAGGUCACAAAGGUUGCUUAAUGUGACAACCAUCUGCACUAUAGAUACCACUCCACAAUUCUCUCCCCCCCCCCCUCCCCCCUUCUUCGAAGUGUGUACCAUGGAAUGUUAAGCUGUCUUGACAACUCACACACUGCUUGAAGACUGCACAUUGUGUCCAGCAUUCUGAACCAUGGCAACAGUAGCUCCAAAAAUUUGUUUACCAAUUGGGCAUUGGACUCUCCCAGGAGGAAUACCCAAAUCACCAGUUAAUUUGAACUUCCAGAUCAUAUUGGCCCUGGUGCAGGAGAAGGACCUCUGUAUUCCUGUAACACUUCAAUACCAGUGAGCAGUUUAACUAUUAUUGCUGUUUAGAUAAAACUGCUUUAUGAGUAAAUCCCCACUCACCUGACUGACUGCAGCUGUGAUGCAGACUUAUGAUUUUGUUUCAAUCCUACAUAGCCAUACCACUACCAACACUUGGAGGCAAGUCAUGAAACAAAUUCUGCAGCACACAGUCUGAACAUCAUUUGUAAAAAGUCAGGUAUCCAUACAUUAAAUAGUUUUCCAUCUACACUGGCUCAAGUAGUGAAAGUUUAAUUAUAACCACCCUGUACUUCAACCAUUAGACAUCAGUGGAAGUCAUAUUCCCACACAAGAUAGUGUGAUGAAAAUUAAUUGGGAAGAGGGGGGCAGCUCCUUUGCAUUGUACCAUUUCACAGUCACAUAACAGCUGAUCAUAAAAGAAUUCAAGCCUGUUUUAGUGCAGAUUCCAACAGUGGUAAGUCUCAAUUUGAUUCAAGUCCAAUUUGCAAAAUGAGCAACAGCAAUCAUUUGUUUUUCACACAGAACAACACUUGCUAUUCCAACAAGGAAAGCAACAUGGGACAGACAAUAUUACAUUAACUUUUUAUCUAAGUCUUUGUUGCAUUGGACAUAAUAAUGGCUCCUAUGAUAAAAACAUCCAACUGAAUUGUGGUGAUAAUUAUUCAAAGAAAUAAUAAUGGCUUUCAGAAACAAUGGGUUGAGUUCAGUGAAAGUAGCUCAUAAUUUCUUUCGUCUCCAGGUAAUUUGAAACUAUUUUCCUUUAAAAUGGGGAGCCAGGGUAGUUACCUGGAAAUGCUAUUUCAAUCCCUAAAACUAAUUUUAAUUAAGCACUUAACCUGCAAUAGAAACAUUAUUUUACAGUCUACCAUGCGGAUGUAAGAGAGACCUUUGAGAUAAUCAUUGCAAUCAGUGACCAAAGGGAUAUCUUCUAAAACUUUAAAAAGAGUUAAGGAAUUAUCUGAUUACAGAACAUUUGUUUUUCUGACAAAACAAACAUUUUUCUCUGUAUCCAACGCAAACUUUUCAGUUACCUUAGCUCUAAGUGGUUAUGGCAGUUUUUGCUUGUUUAAUUUCAGUAGUUAGUAUUCUGUGCCCUCACUUUUGUAAUGAUCAUGCUGGGAAGCAAAGAUUACAUCAUUCCUGACAUGACUGUAGCCUUACAUUUGUAAGAAUAGAGCACUGCAUUAUUGUGCCACAUGAUGAAAGCCAAAGUGGAGGAAAAUUCAAAUUUGGAAUCCCAUGAGGUCUGGUGUUUGGCAAAUCAUUACUAGACAAAGACAAUUUAAUUACUCUAAAGGUUUGUGAUUAACUUCCACAAAUACACCUCAACUACAAACUAAUUUAUUUGUGUGUCCCAAAAAAUAAUUAUGGGCAUUCAUAAUCUGAUGAGAAACCUAAGUUGAAUUGGCCUUACAUUAUGAAUUUUUUUAUUGUUUUGGCCACUGAACUGCUACAUUAGUUCACACACUUUCACUCCCUUCUGUCUCAGAAUAAUUAGGAAAAAUUUAUCUACAGCAAACACUGUAGAAAUGGAAACCUUAUAAAAUCCUUAUUCUUUCACUGCUCUGAUAGGAUAUUUGCUUUCAGCAUUGUUCAGGGUAAAGAUUACACAGUUCCAAAUGAACUGAGGUAAGAUAAUUUUGAUUCUGCAGCAUUAGGAUACAAAGAUAACAUUUCUAUACACAACAGGAAAUCUGGAAUAAAACCCACACCUUACUAAUGAAACCCUUUAAGCCAUCUAAUUACAGGGAGUUGUUUGCAGAUCGUUAUUGGAACUGUGAGAAACCAGUCAACUUACAAUGGAUACACAGUAUAUGACCUGCUCUAGUCACUUUAUACAUACACUUUCAGUAAUCUUGAAUGAAAAUGUUUGGUACUUCGGGAACAGUUAGUCAUUUAAAUUUUAAAAUUGUGUAGAAUUUGCGAUACAUGUCAGCUGAAUGUGAUUGUACCUGCAUUAUCAACAUGAAACAAGUUAAUUCUUACAGCUAGUUAUGUUGCAGUGCUGUCCUUAAGUGAUUGCUUCAGAAACACCUUGACAGAUAGCUCCCUUUAUCAACAAGAAAAUAUUAAGGCAUGGUUAUGUGAAAUUUAAAUUAAUUUUUGAAGUUAUUGGAAUGAAACUGCAAAUGCAAUGAAAUGUUAACAUCUCACAUGAAUCAUUCUUGUAGAGAAAUUUCUAUUUAACUUAUUACCAUUGUGUGUGUGUAAAGAUUUAACAGCACUUUCUGCAGUACUACUAAGUUUUCUGAGAAUACACAACCCCCAAAGAGACCCAUUAUGUGAUUUCCACACAACUUUUUCAGUUUCAAAGUAUGUACUUUAUAUUCUUCACAUUGCACCAUUUCUAUUUUUUUGGCUGUUUAUUCUUUUGUAACUAGAAACACAUGAACACUUAAAUUGAUCUGCAAUUAUUCAUAUCCAACCUUGCAUAAUACCAGACAAGUUCCUCAAACACAACGUUUUAAGCUCAUCAGUGUAAUUACUGCUGUGUUUGGUGAAGUUAGCUUGGAUGUAACAAUGCGUUUUACAACAAGACCAAUAUUGCAUUGAGCACAGGUGCCCAACUCUCAUUUGGUUUAAUUUAUUGAGGUUAAGAAAGAUCCAAUCAAAUAUCUUCCAGAACAAUAGGGAGUAGUGGGACAUUCAGGAAAUUCAUACAUUUGGACAAAGUUCCAACUUUUAUUCACACAAAAUUUAUUGGCAGCUGACAUAACUGCUCAUGAAGUGCAAAAGUAUGCAUCGCACCACAUUUGAAUACUGCCACAUUCCCACAAAAAGAAAGACUUCAUGAUUAAAAGCCAAAAGUUUUCAACACAUUCACACAGUUAGCACAUGAUUAAAGCAACAAAUCUGUCUUGCACAAUUCUGUGGAAAAACAUUUGAAAUUUGCUAUCAUGAAUGGUGGAAUGUAUAAAGAAAUACUGGAAAAAUUUAACAAAGAUAGUUCCUUUCAAAAUAAAUUCUUACAAAAUUGAGCAAUUCUGUAUUUCAUCACUAUCCCACUACAUUUUAGUUUCAGGGGAUAGUGUUGCACAUAACCUUCUGGAUAUCGCUUUUAUACAAAUGAAUAGUAAGUAUUCUACAUUUGAAAUGU